RNAcentral lists this ribosomal RNA (253 nucleotides) under uncultured bacterium. RNAcentral describes it as "partial 16S ribosomal RNA". It matches the Rfam family "Bacterial small subunit ribosomal RNA", at positions 524 to 776 of the family's 1533-position model. The record is from RNAcentral.
UACGGGGGGGGCAAGCGUUGUUCGGAAUUACUGGGCGUAAAGGGCUCGUAGGCGGCCAACUAAGUCAGACGUGAAAUCCCUCGGCUUAACCGGGGAACUGCAUCUGAUACUGGAUGGCUUGAGUUCGGGAGAGGGAUGCGGAAUUCCAGGUGUAGCGGUGGAAUGCGCAGAUAUCGGGAGGAACACCCGUAGCGAAGGCGGUUCUCUGGGCCAAUACUGACGCUGAGGAGCGAAAGCGUGGGGAGCGAACAGG